UUGCCCCUGGAAUCGGGCACGAAAGACAAGACUUUCUUGAGCACGAGGUCACCUUCUCGGAACACACGAGGCUUGACCUUUUAGUCGAAUGCUUUCGUCACUCUCUGCUGAUAUGACUGUCCAUGACACAUGGCAGUUGAUCUCUUCCUUUCGAUCGGAUUCACUCGGUCGUAGUGACUCUGAAUCCAUUCAGCAUCAGUCAACUUGGGACUUUGAGGGUGCUAUUUUUCUUUUGUUUCUUUCUUUCUUUUUCUUUCUUUUGAUUUGGAUUUCUUUUGAUUUUGCACCCUCCUCUUUUUUUUUUCUCUUUUUUUUUUGAUAAUGCCCCAGUUGGCUGUUCUGCUGAUUCUCGAGAUGCAGCUGAGUGAUCUUCUUUUCUUGCUCAAGAAGUCGGGAAAUCUCGUCAGGAAUCCCUUCAUCAUCAUCUUCGUCCGCUUCAAAUACAGGGAAUUCAAAAUUGGGAGAUGACGUCCGAUCAUUAUGUUCAAUGGGUUUGAGAAACAACCUGCAUAAAGAUUUUGAGUAUAAAAGCACUCUGAAAAUCAAACAAGACAAUC
RNAcentral lists this long non-coding RNA (557 nucleotides) under Lathyrus oleraceus (garden pea). Its description in RNAcentral is "Pisum sativum (pea) long non-coding RNA (PSAT_LNC023662)". The record is from RNAcentral. Lineage: Eukaryota; Viridiplantae; Streptophyta; Magnoliopsida; Fabales; Fabaceae.